Molecule: non-coding RNA, 25 nt
Filed under: Arabidopsis thaliana (thale cress)
Lineage: Eukaryota; Viridiplantae; Streptophyta; Magnoliopsida; Brassicales; Brassicaceae
Source: RNAcentral
AGUAACGUCCUGUCAAACCCGUCCC